RNAcentral lists this ribosomal RNA (253 nucleotides) under uncultured bacterium. RNAcentral's name for it is "partial 16S ribosomal RNA". It matches the Rfam family "Bacterial small subunit ribosomal RNA", at positions 524 to 776 of the family's 1533-position model. The record is from RNAcentral.
UACAGAGGGUGCAAGCGUUAAUCGGAAUUACUGGGCGUAAAGGGCGCGUAGGCGGAGCGACAAGCUGGAUGUGAAAGACCUGGGCUUAACCUGGGGGUGUCAUUCAUAACUGUCGUUCUAGAGUAUGGGAGAGGCGAGUGGAAUUCACAGUGUAGCGGUGAAAUGCGUAGAUAUUGUGAGGAACAUCGAUGGCGAAGGCAGCUCGCUGGGACGUUACUGACACUGAGGCGCGAAAGCGUGGGGAGCGAACAGG